Molecule: ribosomal RNA, 237 nt
Filed under: uncultured bacterium
Lineage: Bacteria
Description: partial 16S ribosomal RNA
Rfam family: Bacterial small subunit ribosomal RNA
Source: RNAcentral
GAUCCUGACUCAGGACGAACGCUGGCGGCGUGCUUAACACAUGCAAGUCGAACGAAGAGCGAUGGAAGCUUGCUUCUAUCAAUCUUAGUGGCGAACGGGUGAGUAACGCGUAAUCAACCUGCCCUUCAGAGGGGGACAACAGUUGGAAACGACUGCUAAUACCGCAUACGAUUUAAUCUUGGCAUCGAGGAUAGAUGAAAGGUGGCCUCUACAUGUAAGCUAUCACUGAAGGAGGGG